Molecule: ribosomal RNA, 320 nt
Filed under: uncultured eukaryote
Lineage: Eukaryota
Description: partial 18S ribosomal RNA
Rfam family: Eukaryotic small subunit ribosomal RNA
Source: RNAcentral
CCCCUAGAUGUUCUGGGCCGCACGCGCGCUACACUGAACAGUUCAACAAGUCUUAACCUUGGCCGAUAGGUCUGGGUAAUCUUUGAACGCUGUUCGUGAUUGGGAUAGACCUUUGCAAUUAUGGGUCUUCAACGAGGAAUUCCUAGUAAACGCAAGUCAUCAGCUUGCAUUGAUUACGUCCCUGCCCUUUGUACACACCGCCCGUCGCACCUACCGAUUGAAUGGUCCGGUGAAAUCUCGGGACGGCGGCUUGGUCGCUUGCGUCCGACUGCUGAAACUUGAUUAAACCAUAUCAUUUAGAGGAAGGUGGAGUCGUAACA